This 211-nucleotide ribosomal RNA is filed under the name uncultured bacterium. RNAcentral's name for it is "partial 16S ribosomal RNA". It matches the Rfam family "Bacterial small subunit ribosomal RNA", at positions 524 to 730 of the family's 1533-position model. The record is from RNAcentral.
UACGGAGGGUGCGAGCGUUGUCCGGAAUCAUUGGGCGUAAAGGGCGCGUAGGUGGCCCGGUCAGUUCGUGGUGGAAGCGCGGGGCUCAACCCUGCGUCGGCCAUGAAUACUGCCGCGGCUGGAGCACUGUAGAGGCAGGCGGGAAUUCCGGGUGUAGCGGUGGAAUGCGUAGAGAUCCGGAAGAACGACCGGUGGCGCAAGGCGGCCUGAG